This is a long non-coding RNA of Vicia villosa (hairy vetch), 1989 nucleotides long. RefSeq lists it as uncharacterized. The record is from RefSeq and is a predicted model, not a curated record. The transcript has 5 exons. Lineage: Eukaryota; Viridiplantae; Streptophyta; Magnoliopsida; Fabales; Fabaceae.
CAAGCUUUGUUUAUUCCAGAUGCUCUCACUUACUUUCAUCCAAUAACAUUUCUCUUUCACUUUUCCUUCACGUAGGUAUCACCUUCUUCCACUUUCUCUCUGGCCAAAAACACAACCUACUUCCACUGGAUAACCACUAAAACAACCUCCCUAAUUCACCAUAUCCGAUCCGUUAACAAAACUGGAUCUACUUCUCAUUUCAACACUAACACAAACUCAACAACAACCAACAACCGUGACAACAAUAUUCUUGUUCUCUCAUUUAUGCAACUAUGAGUUUGACCGAUCCGCACCACCAUUACCAAGUCGUGAUCUGGAUCCGUUGCCUUCAAAUCUACUGGACUUAAGUGCUCUACUAUUAGAGUAUUUGGUCAGUAUGAGUCUUUCAAACCCACAAUCAAAAGUAAGGUCAAAAAGCAUUUCGUCAGAGCUGAAAUGGAUUAAAGUGGCAAACAUGCUUUAUCUUGAUUCUUCUGCUGGAGUUGGUUUUUCUUACUCCACCAACAGUUCUGACUUCUGACAUUUGCUUAUUACUCAUGAAAUGACAGCAAGGGAUCAACUUGUUUUCCUUCGGCAUUAAUUCAACAAAUUCCUAGAGUUCAAGACAAAUGAGUUCUUCAUUGCAUGAAAGAGCUAUGCAGGUCACUUUAAAACUCAGCUUGCACAACUCAUCCUAGAAAUAAAAUUCGAAGUCGCAAUCAAAAGUCAGGUUAAAAAGCAUUUGGUCAGAGCUAUAAUGCAAACGCAAGAGAUUAAUUUGAAAGUACUAAUAACAUCUUGUUUCUCUUUCACCAUAUUUUCUUCUCACCUUCUCUACUAUAUAAACACCCUCCUCUCCUGUACUUCCAUUAUUCUAAAUUAUUAUACUCAGUCUAACUCUCCUCCUCUCUACCACUUCUAUCUCAUAAUACAUUAUAUUUUGUUCCAAAUAUGACUCUCCCUAGCCUGUUUGUAUUCAUUUUUAUCUUUUUCAUAAUUUUUUCUUCUAUUUAUGGAAGUGACAAAAUAACAAGGUUGCCUACUUAGUCUAGAGUAAAAUUCAACCAGCAUGCAGGUUACAUCACCAUUGAUGUAAAUCACGGUAGAAAACUCUUCUACUACUUUGUGGAUGCAAAAAAAUCAUCCCGCCACAAAACUCAUCCUGAGGUUCUGCCUCCACAAAGUAGUAAAAGAGUUUUCUUUCAGUGGUUUACAUCAAUGGUGAUGUAACCUGCAUGUUGGUUGAAUUUUACUUUUGGCUGAGUAGAUAACCUCGUUAUUUUGUCACUUCAACAAGUAGAAGAAAGAAAUAUUAAAAAGAUGAAAAUGAAUAAAAACAGACUAGAAAAUAUCAUAUUUGGAACAUAAUAGAAUGUAUUAUGAGAUGAAAGUGAUAGAGAGGGGGAGUUAAAUAGGAGAAUAAUAGUUUAGAAUAAUGGAAGUAGAGGAGAAGAGAAAUGUUUAUAUAAUAGAGAAGGUGAUGAAAAGAAAAUGGUGAAAAAGAAACAAAAGAAGAUAUUAUUAGUACUUUCAAAUUCAUCUCUUGCGUUUGCAUUUUGGCGUCGUAAUAUAAUUUCGAGUUUUGGCGUAUCUUCUGCGUUUACGUUUUGAAUGUGAUGACAACUUGUUAAUUGUAUUUGCUUAGUUUUCGCCUUUUUUUUAAAAAGCGGUAAAGAAUAUUGUAAUAAUUAUGCUUUACAUGAACUACUGCAUCAUGUGAUGACAGACUUUAUUUAUGUCAUAUAUUUACUCUCCAAUAAGUAGUAUAUUUUAUUAAAUCUUUAAAAGGCAUGUAGGCUUAGUCAAGAAUGAUGUGGAAUCACAAAUUCUUUGCUCAUUAAGUAUUUAAUUUUGUGCAAUAAGUAAUUUCACAUGUGUCCCCCACUUAAUUUACUUUUUGAAAUACAGAAAUUACAUUAGUCCUUUUAUUUUUUACUUUUUCAAAUACCGAAAGAAGUGUUAUUAGUGAUUUUAGUAGUUUUAUUUCGCUUGUCCCAAAUUAAUUUUUCA